Molecule: long non-coding RNA, 819 nt
Filed under: Homo sapiens (human)
Lineage: Eukaryota; Metazoa; Chordata; Mammalia; Primates; Hominidae
Description: TRAF3IP2 antisense RNA 1
Source: RNAcentral
GGGUGAGGGGCAGCGGAAGGGGCGGCGGAGCACCGAUCUCAUGGAUGGGCUCCGAGGGGCUUGCGGGAGGGGGGCGCCAGUGUUCGGGGCCGUUUUGGCGGCUAUGCAGGAUUGGCAGGAGCUGCGAUGCUCACACUUGCCUCGCCGACCGCCAUUUCACAUCCAGCAGAGGAGGCGGGGGCAGCCGCUGAGACGGUUUUUCACAAGGAAAUGACCUCAUUCUUGAUGGCUGCUGCUAACUUAUGUAUUCCCACGAGCAUUCUGCUGAGAUGAACAAUCAGAUGACCUCGUGUGAGAUUUGGAGGAGAGAAGGAAAUGGAGAGCAUGCGUCUGCCGCUUCUGUGGUUUCUGUCGGCUUUCUCCAUAUUUACGUGCUUGUAACUCUGGCAUGACCUUUGCUCCAGUCUCUACCAGAGGGCGGUGCCUGGAUUGAAGUGGAAAAGCCCUGUUUUCCAGCCAUGACCCAGGGAGCAAGCACUGACUCCUCAGGGGAACAGGAGACCUGCCAACUAGGACCCUGGGAGCCCCCAUGCUGGCAGUGCCCUGGGUCAUCUCAGGCUCAUCAGCAAAUCCUGGGGGGAGAGCGGGGCUGGAGGGCGAAGAAGCCCAGGAGAGUUCCUGGCUCAGAACCCCUCUCUGAGGCUCCCAAUACAGAGCCCAGGCCCCACACCCAGGGCCUCUGAGUAUUUUUGUUUAUUGUAUGUAAAAUACUAGUGUAUUUUUGUUUAAGUCUCACAGGUAAACAGGUUCUCUCAUACUUUGCCAAGGGAAAUGUGAUCUGUGCAAUUUGGCAAUAACUAUCAGAAUUUUAAAAGCUUA